This 232-nucleotide unclassified non-coding RNA is filed under the name uncultured fungus. Its description in RNAcentral is "sequence contains ITS1". The record is from RNAcentral. Lineage: Eukaryota; Fungi.
GUACAAGUUUCGCUUCCAUAGCAAACCAGACGUUCCGACACAUGCGAGGCGUUUGUUAAAAGGACGCGGGGCACCCCGGCGAACGAACGCCCAGGGCCCCACGCAGAGGUGCACAGAGGGGUGUGUGAGAGAUGAAGACAGAGACGAGACGAGCACGUUGCCCCCGGAGGGACCAGCUACAACCUCGCUCAAGCUUUCGUUAAUGAUCCUUCCGCAGGUUCACCUACGGAAA